Lolium perenne is the source of this 2070-nucleotide non-coding RNA. The record is from RefSeq and is a predicted model, not a curated record. NCBI's taxonomy places the organism in Eukaryota, Viridiplantae, Streptophyta, Magnoliopsida, Poales, Poaceae.
GUUUGCAACGGUGCUCAUAUAUGUAUCUAAGAUCCACCUCCCCACGUCCUUCCUUUAUCCCGCCGCUCAUUGGCGUCCCCAUCCCAACUUCCCCGAUCCCUACCCCUCCAUUAGUCCACCUUAACCUAGAUAGCAGAGUUGCGGCCAGAUCGAAAGCGCCGCCACAAAUCAAGUCGUGGAAUAGACAUCCAUCUCCCUUCCUCCCCAUCUCCCCCUCGCAUCGCCCCUCUUUCUAUCAUAUUUUUGUUGCUUCUUGGAGACCUUACGAGGAGGCGACCAUGCGCUGAACGGUGCGGCGUCGCAGGUGUACAGGGCGGAGCAUAGAAGACACGGCGGACCAAGGGAUUCCUUUCUUGCCGCAUCGCAUACUGUUGGUCUGUGGUGACGGGUGAGAUUCCGAUGGGGAUAUUGGCUUGGUUCUGGGCGGACUCAGGAUGGUGCUGAUUACGGAUCUUGUCCUAGCAAUGGGGCGGCCAGGGCUAUUGGGAUUCGGCUUCGUGCUACCGCCAAGAUGUUCCUCACAACGUUUGAUGCCAUCCAUCUCACGGACAUCCUCACAGGUGCAUAAUUUUCUGGAUCGUUCUAUUAGUGCUUUGCUGUUAUGCACAGGUGAAUACCAAGGGUGACGAAAUUAUGCAGUCAAGGCAUCAAUUCUCACCUCACUCAUCCUCUGUUCCAAAUGUAGAGUGGGUCUGUUUUUUCAUCUCCACUGUGCUGACUAAUUAAUUAAGUGAUUAGGAACCACAAAAAAUGAUUAGUAUGGUUAUUAUUUGCCACUAAAAAUCUGUGCAUAUUUGGGUUAAUGACCUAUUUUGUCGUGCAGUUUUCAGAACCCAGACAUCUAUUUCUGAAGUUUGAAAAGAAAAGUAAAUGGAUUUUACUUCAGCAGAUUAGAAGAAAUUUGUAUGUGAAAUUGUACUGGCUGCGCACUUUUAUCUUAGAUUUUUGGCCAGGUAAAGAUAUAUGUUGGAUGUAGAACUUCACGGCUCUAUCUGAAGUUGUUGGGAGAACACAAAAUCUAGGUGUGCAAUCAGCGCUUAUCGACGAAAAUACACAAUGAGAAGUAUUUGGGAUGCUCAUAAAUGGCACCCAAAGGUCUAUUUGUGUAUUGUUCCUAGAAAUACAUGACUUGAAUAGUUCCCCUUUCAUUGAUCUGUACUUGGGAACAUACUGCUAGCGAUGUUAAUUUGAGUGAUUACAGGUGCAGUUAUGUUUCCUGCUGAUUACCCGCAAGAUUGACUAACAGUGUCAGUGAAACUCCAUCUAUAUCUGGGUUGGAUAUGAUGCUACUGAGGACGACACUUUGCAAAGAGGUAAAUGCAAACCAAUCACUAGUGCUUCAUGACAUUUUCAUUGUGUCAAUCUUGUUAAAUAAAGGUAUCUGACCUAUGUUAAUUGGAUUGUUCAUAUCUUUAACAUGGAUACUUAAUUGUUUUUCUGUAUUUAGAUCUGUGUGGUAAUGACUUGGCAUGUAGCUGGGAUGGGCUUUUUCAGAUGCACGGGAUGGCACAAAUUAACUUGCAUGACUUAACUUUGGUAUGCUACGUACUUAGGUUUUCGAAGAAAUUCCAAGCAGCAUGCGGAUGUGAGCUUUAAGGUCUGAUAAAAAUAAUUAACAUUACGCAUUUUCCUUCCAUUUUACAUGUGCAUACAUCAUGAAGAGCCUACGAACUGAGCUUACUAUUAUUAAAAUUGGCGUCUCUAUUCAAUUUAAUCUAUAUGUAGAUUAUUGUUGCUUUGCAUAGUUAAUAUAUAGAUAUGUAUUUUGACAUUUCAGAAUGGUGAGUAGUAGAGCAAGUAGGUCGUAGAAUUUACUAUCUCCUUUCCUACUGAUUUUUGUUUUGUUUUGCCACACAAGUUCUAAACUUGGAACUUUAUUUUUUCAGGUCCAAAAAAAGGAUUGCUACAUUCAGGUUCUACAUUAGAAGGCAGAAGAUUAGAAGGAAUAUUUAUGUUAGGAUUAGUUAGAAUAUGAUAUCCUGAUGCAAGAUUGUAAGAUGUGUACUGAUCUUAAGAUAAUUUUCAUGUAUGGAUAUGGUGAUUUCAAUAUUAAAUACAAUUGUUUAUGCA